RNAcentral lists this ribosomal RNA (253 nucleotides) under uncultured bacterium. Its description in RNAcentral is "partial 16S ribosomal RNA". It matches the Rfam family "Bacterial small subunit ribosomal RNA", at positions 524 to 776 of the family's 1533-position model. The record is from RNAcentral.
GACAGGGGUCCCAAGCGUUAGGCGGAAUCACUGGGCUUAAAGCGUGUGUAGGCGGAUGCCUAAGUACCUUGUGAAAUCCCACGGCUCACCCGUGGAACUGCUUGGUAUACUGGGUGUCUUGAGCCACUUAGGGGCUACCGGAACAAAUGGUGGAGCGGUGAAAUGCGUAGAUAUCAUUUGGAACGCCAACGGUGAAAACAGGUAGCUGGGAGUGUGCUGACGCUGAGACACGAAAGCCAGGGGAGCAAACGGG